UGAGUACGAGACGCUAAGGCGUUGAAGCAGUCUAUGUCAGACUUCCAAGAAAAGCUCGCAAUGUCAUAGACAAAAAAUGCCUGUACCAUAACCGACACAGGUGGGUAGGUAGAGUAUACUAAGGGGCGCGAGAUAACUCUCUCUAAGGAACUCGGCAAAAUGACUCCGUAACUUCGGGAGAAGGAGUGCCUUAUUUUUAUAAGGUUGCAAUAACAAGAUCCAAGCAACUGUUUACCAAAAACACAGGUCUCCGCUAAGUCGUAAGACGAUGUAUGGGGGCUGACGCCUGCCCAGUGCCAGAAGGUUAAAGAAGUUGGUUAGUUUCGGCGAAGCUGAUGACUGAAGCCCUGGUGAACGGCGGCCGUAACGAUAACGGUCCUAAGGUAGCGAAAUUCCUUGUCGGGUAAGUUCCGACCCGCACGAAAGGCGUAAUGAUUUGGAUACUGUCUCGGAGAGGGGCUCGGUGAAAUAGACUUGUCUGUGAAGAUGCGGACUACCUGCACCUGGACAGAAAGACCCUAUGAAGCUUUACUGUAACUUGAGAUUGAAAUUGGACUUUAUUUGCGCAGUAUAGGUGGGAGACGUUGAGAAUAUUCUUGCGGGAAUAUUGGAGUCAUCAGUGAGAUACCACUCUUGUAAUGUUAGAUUUCUAACUUUGUAUCAUUAUCUGGUCAAAGGACAGUUUCAGGCGGGCAGUUUGACUGGGGCGGUCGCCUCCCAAACGGUAACGGAGGCGCACAAAGGUUUCCUCUGAACGUGUAGAAAUCGUAUCUAGAGUGUAAAGGCAUAAGGAAGCUUGACUGUGAGACCUACAAGUCGAGCAGGGACGAAAGUCGGUCUUAGUGAUCUGACGGUGCUGAGUGGAAAGGCCGUCACUCAACGGAUAAAAGUUACUCUAGGAUAACAGGCUGAUCUCCCCCAAGAGUUCACAUCGACGGGGAGGUUUGGCACCUCGAUGUCGGCUCAUCGCAUCCUGGGGCGGUAGUACGUCCCAAGGGUUGGGCUGUUCGCCCAUGAAAGCGGUACGCGAGCUGGGUUCAGAACGUCGUGAGACAGUUCGGUCCAUAUCCGGUGUAGGCGUUAGAAUAUUGAGAGGAGCCUUCUUUAGUACGAGAGGACCGAGAAGGACAUACCUCUGGUGUACCAGUUAUCGUGCCAACGGUAAACGCUGGGUAGCUAUGUAUGGAGUGGAUAACCGCUGAAAGCAUCUAAGUGGGAAGCCCACCUCAAGAUAAGUAUUCU
Molecule: ribosomal RNA, 1242 nt
Filed under: metagenome
Description: bacterial LSU rRNA
Rfam family: Bacterial large subunit ribosomal RNA
Source: RNAcentral